RNAcentral lists this transfer RNA (59 nucleotides) under Cichlidarus nyanzae. RNAcentral describes it as "tRNA-Ser". Lineage: Eukaryota; Metazoa; Platyhelminthes; Monogenea; Gyrodactylidea; Gyrodactylidae. The record is from RNAcentral.
GUGUUAGGAUUAAUACUUAGUUUGAAGCUAAGUUAACUAAAUAUAUUUUAGCUAACAUU